This 978-nucleotide ribosomal RNA is filed under the name Peptoniphilus sp. BV3AC2. Its description in RNAcentral is "bacterial SSU rRNA". It matches the Rfam family "Bacterial small subunit ribosomal RNA", at positions 8 to 991 of the family's 1533-position model. Lineage: Bacteria; Bacillati; Bacillota; Tissierellia; Tissierellales; Peptoniphilaceae. The record is from RNAcentral.
AGAGUUUGAUCCUGGCUCAGGACGAACGCUGGCGGCGCGCUUAACACAUGCAAGUCGAGCGAUGAAAUUUCGACAGAUCCCUUCGGGGUGAAGAUGAAAUGGAUUAGCGGCGGACGGGUGAGUAACACGUGAGUAACCUGCCUUUGACAUUGGGAUAGCCUCGGGAAACUGGGAUUAAUACCAAAUGACACUAACUGGUCACAUGAUCAAUUAGUCAAAGAAAUUCGGUCAAAGAUGGACUCGCGGCUGAUUAGCUAGUUGGUGAGGUAACGGCCCACCAAGGCGACGAUCAGUAGCCGGCCUGAGAGGGUUAUCGGCCACAUUGGAACUGAGACACGGUCCAAACUCCUACGGGAGGCAGCAGUGGGGAAUAUUGCACAAUGGGGGAAACCCUGAUGCAGCGACGCCGCGUGAGCGAAGAAGGCCUUCGGGUCGUAAAGCUCUUUUAUGAGGGAAGAUAAUGACGGUACCUCAAGAAAAAGCCCCGGCUAACUACGUGCCAGCAGCCGCGGUAAUACGUAGGGGGCUAGCGUUGUCCGGAAUCACUGGGCGUAAAGGGUUCGCAGGCGGAAUAACAAGUCAGAUGUGAAAGGCAUGGGCUCAACCCAUGUAAGCAUUUGAAACUGUAAUUCUUGAGAAGUGGAGAGGUAAGUGGAAUUCCUAGUGUAGCGGUGAAAUGCGUAGAUAUUAGGAGGAAUACCUGUGGCGAAGGCGACUUACUGGACACAAAUCUGACGCUGAGGAACGAAAGCGUGGGUAGCAAACAGGAUUAGAUACCCUGGUAGUCCACGCCGUAAACGAUGAGUGCUAGGUGUCGGGGGAGACCUCGGUGCCGGCGUUAACACAAUAAGCACUCCGCCUGGGGAGUACGUGCGCAAGCAUGAAACUCAAAGGAAUUGACGGGGACCCGCACAAGCAGCGGAGCAUGUGGUUUAAUUCGACGCAACGCGAAGAACCUUACCAGGGCUUGACAUACUG